Arabidopsis thaliana (thale cress) is the source of this 1488-nucleotide long non-coding RNA. RefSeq annotates it as other RNA. The transcript is spliced from 2 exons. NCBI's taxonomy places the organism in Eukaryota, Viridiplantae, Streptophyta, Magnoliopsida, Brassicales, Brassicaceae. The record is from RefSeq.
AUAGCAUUUAUAUGGAUAAGUCGAUAAUUGUUCAGAAAUUUCUAGGCUCGAUUGUCUUUCUUUGCAUGGGUCCGUUGUACCAAUUCAGGUCGUAUUCAAGAAAAAUCAACCCAACAAGUAUAUAUACUUGCACGUAAACGAAUGCGGUCAUAACCCGAAACCAAAAGCGGUCAAACUCACUUCAGUUUUUGUUUGAGUUUAGAUAGUUCAAAAAAGACCAAUCGGGACUCAAGUGAUUGGUCCGAUUAUAAACCCGAAAUAUCCAUCCGCUAAAAAGGACUUGUCAGUGAUUGGUUAUUUCAGCUUCAAUAGCAAAACCAAGCCUAACCAAAUAAACAGAACCCACAAGCAUACGUUAUUUUACCAACACCAUCUUCCCCGGAAUUUUCACCACUGCAACUAGGAUUCACUCCGGUCGGCUUCCGGCAUGUUCUGCUGUUGUGACCUCUCUCACCGCAUAUUCCACAUUUGUGAUACCUAGUGGAAAUGCCUUUAGUGACUAUUGAUUUCGACUUAGGACAAGUUCUACGGUUGUGGCCUUUCCCGCCGCAACCCCGACAUCUAAAUUUUCUGUCCGCAUUAGUGCCUAGUUCUGGACAGUAAUGGCGUCUAUGGCCUUCCUGUCCACAGUUCUUGCAGUAAAACUUAGUUCCUGAAUCAAUGAGAGAAAAAUGGUUCUUUUACCAUUUCAUAGCUUGCACAUGGAACUGUCACCACAAAAGGAAAUCAAAUCGAAACCUACAUUUCUACACUUCGAAUCAACAUUAUAUCUCAACUUUAAGUGACAAGCCUCAACCUAAUUCAUCACAGUGAUCUCACAUUAUUGGAGAAUGUAAACAGAUAAAGCUCAAGAAACAAAAGAGUACUACAUGGACCUAAACUCUGAAAUUCUACCAAGAAACUGAGACUUACCUUUCAUAGAUAGGCUUCUCUGUUCACGGUUUACAGGGUUACUGAAGAAAGCUUUCAUAGAUUCGGAUGCAUGCUUUCUAGCAGCUGGUGUUCCUUUAGCUUUCUAGAACACAACAACACUAAGCAGAUUCAAGGGAAAAAAACAACAAAACUUGUUCCAUGUUAAUUUAGGAUAUAAAACAAAAUGGAGUAGAUUACAGACCUUAAUUGCAGCUACUCUUUGAGCAUGAAGCACUGGAUCACGAUGUAUAAUCUUCAUGCGCUUACUAAAAAGUCCAGUUUUGGCAUUGAGACUCUAUAAAAACCAUAAUUUGGACUGACUAUGACAAUUUCCCAUGGAGAGAGUAGAAUAACAUGAAGUGUAUAUGAAUGAAACUAACUUUUAGAGAUCGGCUGAUCUUUUGUCCAACUUCAGGAGUUGGUGACUGAUAAAUCCGCUUCGAUUUUCGCCUUUUACUGAACUUUAUCUCUAAAUUAUCAACCUCAUCAUCCUCCUUUACUCUAAAUGGAGAACUGUGGCAGAAAAAAAUGAGGUUUAUUAGUCAAACAUUAAACAGAAUUAAGACUUCAACUCUU